Molecule: ribosomal RNA, 207 nt
Filed under: uncultured bacterium
Lineage: Bacteria
Description: partial 16S ribosomal RNA
Rfam family: Bacterial small subunit ribosomal RNA
Source: RNAcentral
GGCGUAGGCGGCCUGUCAAGUCGGAUGUGAAAUCUCCCGGCUUAACUGGGAGGGUGCGUUCGAUACUGAUGGGCUAGAGUGCAGUAGAGGAAAGCGGAAUUUCCGGUGUAGUGGUGAAAUGCGUAGAUAUCGGGAAGAACACUAGUGGCGAAGGCGGCUUUCUGGGCUGUAACUGACGCUGAGGUCCGAAGGCGUGGGGAGCGAACA